UACGUAGGGUGCGAGCGUUAAUCGGAAUUACUGGGCGUAAAGCGUGCGCAGGCGGUUUUGUAAGCCAGAUGUGAAAGCCCCGGGCUUAACCUGGGAAUGGCAUUUGGGACUGCAAGGCUCGAGUGCGGCAGAGGAGACUGGAAUUCCUGGUGUAGCAGUGAAAUGCGUAGAUAUCAGGAGGAAUACCGAUGGCGAAGGCAGGUCUCUGGGCUGACACUGACGCUCAUGCACGAAAGCGUGGGGAGCAAACAGG
Molecule: ribosomal RNA, 253 nt
Filed under: uncultured bacterium
Lineage: Bacteria
Description: partial 16S ribosomal RNA
Rfam family: Bacterial small subunit ribosomal RNA
Source: RNAcentral